Molecule: ribosomal RNA, 773 nt
Filed under: uncultured bacterium
Lineage: Bacteria
Description: bacterial SSU rRNA
Rfam family: Bacterial small subunit ribosomal RNA
Source: RNAcentral
CUGGCGGCGUGCUUACACAUGCAAGUCGAACGAACCUUCGGGAUUAGUGGCGGACGGGUGAGUAACGCGUGAGAAUCUGCCCUCAGGAGGGGGAUAACGGCUGGAAACGGCCGCUAAUACCCCAUAUGCCGAGAGGUGAAAUGAAUUUCGCCUGAGGAUGAGCUCGCGUCUGAUUAGCUAGUUGGUAAGGUAAGAGCUUACCAAGGCAUCGAUCAGUAGCUGGUCUGAGAGGAUGAUCAGCCACACUGGGACUGAGACACGGCCCAGACUCCUACGGGAGGCAGCAGUGGGGAAUUUUCCGCAAUGGGCGCAAGCCUGACGGAGCAACGCCGCGUGAGGGAUGAAGGCCUCUGGGCUGUAAACCUCUUUUCUCAAGGAAGAAGACAUGACGGUACUUGAGGAAUAAGCCACGGCUAAUUCCGUGCCAGCAGCCGCGGUAAUACGGGAGUGGCAAGCGUUAUCCGGAAUUAUUGGGCGUAAAGCGUCCGCAGGCGGCCUUUUAAGUCUGUUGUUAAAGCGUGGAGCUCAACUCCAUUUCGGCAAUGGAAACUGGAAGGCUGGAGUGUGGUAGGGGCAGAGGGAAUUCCCGGUGUAGCGGUGGAAUGCGUAGAUAUCGGGAAGAACACCAGUGGCGAAGGCGCUCUGCUGGGCCGAGACUGACACUGAGAGACGAAAGCGAGGGGAGCAAAUGGGAUUAGAUACCCCAGUAGUCCUCGCCGUAAACGAUGGAUACUAGGUGUUGGAUGUUUUCAAAGACUUCAGUACCGUAGCUA